GAUGAACGCUGGCGGCGUGCCUAAUACAUGCCAGUAGAACGCUGAAGGAAGGAGCUUGCUCUUUCCGGAUGAGUUGCGAACGGGUGAGUAACGCGUAGGUAACCUGCCUGGUAGCGGGGGAUAACUAUUGGAAACGAUAGCUAAUACCGCAUAACAGUAGAUGUUGCAUGAUAUCUACUUAAAAGGUGCAAUUGCACCACUACCAGAUGGACCUGCGUUGUAUUAGCUAGUUGGUGAGGUAACGGCUCACCAAGGCGACGAUACAUAGCCGACCUGAGAGGGUGGUCGGCCACCCUGGGACUGAGACACGGCCCAGACUCCUACGGGAGGCAGCAGUAGGGAAUCGUCGGCAAUGGACGGAAGUCUGACCGAGCAACGCCGCGUGAGUGAAGAAGGUUUUCGGAUCGUAAAGCUCUGUUGUAAGAGAAGAACGAGUGUGAGAGUGGAAAGUUCACACUGUGACGGUAUCUUACCAGAAAGGGACGGCUAACUACGUG
RNAcentral lists this ribosomal RNA (497 nucleotides) under uncultured bacterium. RNAcentral's name for it is "partial 16S ribosomal RNA". It matches the Rfam family "Bacterial small subunit ribosomal RNA", at positions 28 to 507 of the family's 1533-position model. The record is from RNAcentral.